GAUGAACGCUGGCGGCGUGCCUAAUACAUGCAAGUCGAGCGAACAGAUAAGGAGCUUGCUCCUUUGACGUUAGCGGCGGACGGGUGAGUAACACGUGGGUAACCUACCUAUAAGACUGGAAUAACUCCGGGAAACCGGGGCUAAUGCCGGAUAACAUUUAGAACCGCAUGGUUCUAAAGUGAAAGAUGGUUUUGCUAUCACUUAUAGAUGGACCCGCGCCGUAUUAGCUAAUUGGUAAGGUAACGGCUUACCAAGGCAACGAUACGUAGCCGACCUGAGAGGGUGAUCGGCCACACUGGAACUGAGACACGGUCCAGACUCCUACGGGAGGCAGCAGUAGGGAAUCUUCCGCAAUGGGCGAAAGCCUGACGGAGCAACGCCGCGUGAGUGAUGAAGGUCUUCGGAUCGUAAAACUCUGUUAUUAGGGAAGAACAAAUGUGUAAGUAACUGUGCACGUCUUGACGGUACCUAAUCAGAAAGCCACGGCUAACUACGUG
RNAcentral lists this ribosomal RNA (497 nucleotides) under uncultured bacterium. Its description in RNAcentral is "partial 16S ribosomal RNA". It matches the Rfam family "Bacterial small subunit ribosomal RNA", at positions 28 to 507 of the family's 1533-position model. The record is from RNAcentral.